GACGACGCUGGCGGCGUGGAUUAGGCAUGCAAGUCGAACGGUAUCAUCCUUCGGGGGUGAGAGAGUGGCGAACUGGUGAGUAACACGUAGGUUAUCUACCCUCAAGACGGGGACAACCCAGGGAAACUUGGGCUAAUACCGGAUGUGAGCAACCUUUAGUUGUUUGAAAGGUGGCGUAAGCUGUCGCUUGGGGAUGAGCCUGCGUCCUAUUAGUUAGUUGGUGAGGUAACGGCUCACCUAGGCAAUGAUAGGUAGGCGGCCUUAACGGGUGGUCGCCCACACUGGGAUUGAGAUACGGCCCAGACUCCUACGGGAGGCAGCAGUCGAGAAUAGUCUACAAUGGUCGGAAGACUGAUAGUGCGACGCCGCGUGAACGAUGAAUCCCUUCGGGGUGUAAAGUUCUUUUAUAUGUGAGCAGUGCUUCUUAUAUUAACAGUAUGGGGAGAGAGAUAUUAGCAUAUGAAUAAGCAACGGCUAACUCCGUG
This 485-nucleotide ribosomal RNA is filed under the name uncultured bacterium. RNAcentral describes it as "bacterial SSU rRNA". It matches the Rfam family "Bacterial small subunit ribosomal RNA", at positions 33 to 507 of the family's 1533-position model. The record is from RNAcentral.